Long non-coding RNA from Mytilus californianus (California mussel), 3163 nucleotides. RefSeq lists it as uncharacterized. The transcript has 4 exons. NCBI's taxonomy places the organism in Eukaryota, Metazoa, Mollusca, Bivalvia, Mytilida, Mytilidae. The record is from RefSeq and is a predicted model, not a curated record.
CAGGGAAGUAUUCCGCUGAAAGACUGACUUCAUCAAAUGCUUUUUUAUUUCCUUUUGAUUGUACGGAUGAAUGCACUAUCUUUUUUAAGACAAUUUAAAUACAUUUUAUUAAUAUAUGACAAUUAUACUUACUGUUCUAACAUGGAGUCAAAUGAGAACGAACAAAAGUCGGAAGGCGACAGCAGAAACUGUAUCUGUCUACCGUUUGUUCUACUUGCUUUAGUUGGGGGAGGUUUUUCCUUAGAAUUAUUUGGAUUUUUAAAGCUAGAUCCCUUUAACCAAAGGAAUGAUACGUCAGAUCUUUGCAGAUUACUUCCCUCUAGCAAAUCUUGUACGUUUAAGCCGGAAAAUGAAGAUAUUUUGCCAAAUUCAACGAAAAGUAUGGGAGAAUAUACGUUUGAAUUCUUUUCCUAUACACAGGCGCAGUGUAUCUUCUUCCAGUUCAUUACGGUCAACAUAAUUCUUCCUCAUAUAUGUUUUUGCUUCUAUGUAUGUUGCAAUUGUUGUAUCAGGCGACAAAUUAUCCGAUGCUGUAUGGGGUUAUGCUUUUGUCCCUGUUUCCACUGGGUAUGGAUACUGUUAGAAGGCUUUGUAGGAAUUACCUGCAUAAUAAGUUGUUCGGUUCUUGGAAUGUAUUUGUCACCAAGUGACAUAAGACAGAUCGAUGGAUUCUUUUAUUGCCUUUCCAAUGGAAUAUUAGGAAUACUGAAGUUUGUAGGUUAUAUUGUUUACCAAAAGAAAGUUGGAUUUCCUUCAGGCGAUUACUUCUAUGGAUGCAACUAUCAAUUUAAAAACAUCACGGUUGAGAAAAAGCAAGUGGGCAUAAGAAAAUAUAAAAAUUCGGCCGGACGUACUAUCAGAAAGGAAAAAGAGUUUAUAUAUAGCAUAAGCUAUCAUUAACGCCGUUACAUGUAAUGUAUAGUUGAGAACUGUCGGCAUGUUGCUACUUAACAAUGUAUCUCAAUCUGAAAGCUGUUAUUUAUCUCAAACUAUUAUAAGAAUAAAUUUAAAGAUUUAAGAAAAAUAUUACAAGCGUGGUCGCUAUUUCCACGGAGUAACAUAUGAAUCAAGCAGUUUCAUGCUAUUAAGAUACACACAAAGUCCAUAUUUUCACAGUACCGGUUAAAGGUUAUUUUAAACCACAUUUAAAGAAUCUUUAGAGUUAUCAUACAAUAUAAUGAUGCUCUUAUCAUUUUGGAAAUUUUACUUAUAAUUCACAAUUCUGACUUUCUGGAGUUAAAUUUAUUGUGUUUCCUUAUUUAUUUUGUAUUUCGGUUUCUUUUUACAUUUCUUAUCCAUAACUUUUAAUCAACAUGUUUUGAUACGCACUAUGAAAUACUCAGUGUGGACAUUGAGCGACAUAUUUUACGGCGUUUUACGUUUCCGCAUUUUGGUACUACGUUUCCGCAUUAAAAUUCCUACGUUUCCGCAUUUUUAUAGUACUCUUUUCCGCAUUGUUUUUACAUUGAUUUUGUUAAAGGUUAUUUACAUUUCCGUUUUUUUAAUGUAUGCCUCUUCUAUUUGCCAGGUAAAUCUGUUGCCCCCUGCUCACCAACGGGGAGGUCUAAGUAGGACUUCGAGCAGGAUAAGUCUUAUGAUUAAAAUGAAACUAUCAACUUAAAAUGAUAAAAAUUAUACAUGGUCAUAUAUCAAUUAAAAGUCAAUGUUCAGCACUAAAAGUUUAUAUAUACAGAUAAAACAGUAAACGUCAGUAUACUAUUAUACAGUACAUGUAGCACAGUUUCCAUAUUUGUCAAAGCGGAAAACUUGUAGCCAACUGACUUUAUGAAGUCUAACCUCGUAAUCUCUUCUCUACCAUACUUGACAAACUGUUCGGAUACGAAUUCAAUUCGUUCGCGGUCAUUUUUACGAACUGGUGCUAUUGCUGAUAAAGACCGAAUUUUGAUGUAAGUUGUUGUUUGGAUCCACUGCAAAACGUCCAUAAAGAUAAAUAUACUUGGGUGACAUGCAUUGAACUGGGAGUUAAAAUGAGAAUGAAACGAUUCCGGCCCAUUUGUGGUUCUUUUGGCUUCUGUGUCGGGAGGAGAUGCCCAUAUUUGCGGUGGAAACUUAGAAUCAGCGGCAAUGUAGUUUUCUAGGAUGUAGUCAGCAAAAUUUCAAACAUUUUUCGUUUUGUGGAGUAACUGCCAUAAUGUCUUCUACAAAACAAUCCUCAAUCUCUUCUGGUGAUGAGAAGGCGAGUCCAAAGAACUGGUUGAGCCAUUUCCCUACUUCACUUGACCUUUCUUUAUAUUCGGUACUUAGUCCAAUAGUUUGUAUUCUACGCCACCAACUUUGACCUAGAUGGAAUCUGCAGCCGCUUAUAUCUGCAUUAGGAAAAAUUACUCUUACAACAUUGUGCAUGGCCUGUUCAAAGUCAAUAUGUAUUGCUUUCGGAGAGAGCACUAAAUUUCUCUGUUGGCAAGAAGCAUUUAGGAAAUUCUAGGUAGGAGAGCAAAAAACAAGUGGAAUAUAAUUGCCAUUUAGACACCCAUAUAUUGAGUAUAAUUGAUAAUAAAACUUUGGACAAUACUUGAAAAUUCCGUCAAUAAAAAUAUCCUCCAUUUCACUACAAAGACAUUCUAAAUUAACUGAACAUGAGAAAAUAAUGAUACCUGUUUCUUGAUCAUUUACCCAAGUAAAGAAUAUAAUCUACCUGUUGAAGGAAUUAUAUUAUCAUAAUAAAAUACAAAUUAAGAAAAAAUACUAUAAUAAAAUAAAGUCUUAUAUAUCAUUAUUACCAUUUUUUUACAGGUGAAAUACAGGUAAAAAUGCGGAAAGGUGGUAUCUAUUUAUUUCGGAAAAGUAAUGCACGAAAAUGCGGAAACGUGAAACUGGAUUUUUGCUAUAAAUGCGGAAACGUAAUACGCCCAUAUUUUAAUAUAUUACCUAACUACUGACAAUAUUGCUUAAUCAUAACUAUAUGUUCUUAAUUAUCAUAAUCAAAUUAUCAAUUUUAUAUAUGACAGUGAAUGAAUGAAUGCAUUAAUGAAAGGACAAGGUAUGAUAAGGGGCGUUUUUGGCCCCCUUCCCGAAUAAGUUUAUAUAUAGAUCAUUGAUAGCCUUUGUAUAGAAACUAGACAAAACGAUGAUUUUUUUUUGUGUUCCGGUGAAAGGAAGGUUGCCUAGCAACGGUUUUAUUAAAUAGACAAAUUAUCACUUA